RNAcentral lists this ribosomal RNA (253 nucleotides) under uncultured bacterium. RNAcentral describes it as "partial 16S ribosomal RNA". It matches the Rfam family "Bacterial small subunit ribosomal RNA", at positions 524 to 776 of the family's 1533-position model. The record is from RNAcentral.
UACGUAGGGUCCAAGCGUUAAUCGGAAUUACUGGGCGUAAAGCGUGCGCAGGUGGUUCGUUAAGCGCGAUGUGAAAUCCCCGGGCUCAACCUGGGAAUUGCAUUGCGAACUGGCGGACUAGAGUACGGGAGAGGGGGGUGGAAUUCCACGUGUAGCAGUGAAAUGCGUAGAGAUGUGGAGGAACACCGAUGGCGAAGGCAGCCCCCUGGCCUGCUACUGACACUCAUGCACGAAAGCGUGGGGAGCAAACAGG